GUCCACGCCGUAAACGAUGGAUACUAGCUGUUCGGAGCAAUCUGAGUGGCUAAGCGAAAGUGAUAAGUAUCCCACCUGGGGAGUACGAACGCAAGUUUGAAACUCAAAGGAAUUGACGGGGGCCCGCACAAGCGGAGGAGCAUGUGGUUUAAUUCGAUGAUACGCGAGGAACCUUACCAAGGCUUAAAUGGGAAACGACAGGUUUGGAAACAGAUCUUUCUUCGGACGUUUUUCAAGGUGCUGCAUGGUUGUCGU
RNAcentral lists this ribosomal RNA (255 nucleotides) under uncultured bacterium. Its description in RNAcentral is "partial 16S ribosomal RNA". It matches the Rfam family "Bacterial small subunit ribosomal RNA", at positions 793 to 1055 of the family's 1533-position model. The record is from RNAcentral.